ACGUCUUGAAAUUCAUUUAUUAAACAAUUUCCAUUGACAAUUACACUUACUUGAAAUUAUCUGUCAAUAUACAUGGUCAUUUACAGUAUGUACAUGAUACAUGGUGUAUAAAAAAUAUGAGACCCUUAUAGUAUUGUUGGAAUUUGAAUGCAAUUACGCUCCUUCAUACGAUUCUAUAGCAGUUAUUUUAAAUUCAUAAAAUCUUGUGCUUAACAACAAUAGCUUGAUAUCUAAAUGUUUCGUUUUUUUACACACUGUAUAUAUUUACACAAAUCCAAGAAUAUUAUUUUAUGUAACAAUUACAGACUAACAGUAUACUAUUGAAGUUAAUUAUGUAUAAAUAAUCAUUAACACACAAAUUAAAGCACUGCUUUCCAUUUGUUUGUGGUUGGCACUUUUUUCCAUCCAGCAAACCACCCUAUCGAGUUUCCAAAGUCGGUUUUUCUGGACUAUUUUAUUAAUUCGGUUAGGGUUAGGGUUAGAGUUACGGUUGGGGUUAGAGUAGAGUUACGGUUGGGGUUAGAGCAGAGGUAGGUUUUGGGUUAGUUACAUAGCCAUUUAACAACUCUUCUAUCUUCUGAAAAUAACGUCAGGUCAGUUUGCUGGAUGGAAAAUAGUGCUAACCUUUGUUUGGAGCUCAUCGGGAAUGCUAUUAAUAAAACGUUGCCUACCCAAAUGCUUAUACCAAACUCAAUGCCAUAAAUCACAAAACCUUACGCUACGGAAUAGUAUUAAAUCUCUUAAGGCCCAUUUCCACUCAGGAAAAUUUUCCGCAGAAAGAAAAUUUUGUAAAAUGCGAUUGGCCGACACAAAUUUUCCGUCGGAAAAAAGUUUUUCAGUUGAAAAUUUUCAACUUUUAACAAAUGGGCCUUUAAGGCCAAGACGGACGGGGGGAUCAUUCCAGGGGGGAGAUGAAUUAGAUUGAAGAAGUUAGAAACUCAUAAGGUAUAAUUGUUAAUUAUCAGCACUUACCAAUUGAUAUUUCCCCUUAUAGCGACUUGCCGCGAGGCAUGACGGUAGGAAGCUUCCGAAGAAAAUUAUGGUUGCUCAUGGAGUGAACGAUUUUGUUUCAGACACGACAUUGAACUCGCUCCGCAGGGAAUUUCUUGCAAAACAACUAACUUUAAGAAGAAAAGCAG
This is a non-coding RNA of Paramuricea clavata, 1139 nucleotides long. NCBI's taxonomy places the organism in Eukaryota, Metazoa, Cnidaria, Anthozoa, Malacalcyonacea, Plexauridae. The record is from the annotation of a GenBank genome assembly.